Molecule: ribosomal RNA, 258 nt
Filed under: uncultured bacterium
Lineage: Bacteria
Description: partial 16S ribosomal RNA
Rfam family: Bacterial small subunit ribosomal RNA
Source: RNAcentral
GUCCAUGCCCUAAACGAUGUACACUUGAUAUCUGCCCUCAGGGUAGGUGUCGGAGCUAACGCGUUAAGUGUACCACCUGGGGAGUACGCUCGCAAGGGUGAAACUCAAAGGAAUUGACGGGGGCCCCGCACAAGCAGUGGAGUAUGUGGUUUAAUUCGAUGCAACGCGAAGAACCUUACCUAGGCUUGAAAAGCCGUCUAAACCUGUGAAAGCAGGGUACCCGCAAGGGGGGCGGUACAGGUGCUGCAUGGCUGUCGU